UGGGGAAUUUUGGACAAGGGGGGCAACCCUGAUCCAGCCAUGCCGCGUGCAGGAUGAAGGCCUUCGGGUUGUAAACUGCUUUUGUACGGAACGAAAAGACUCUGGUUAAUACCUGGGUCC
RNAcentral lists this ribosomal RNA (120 nucleotides) under uncultured bacterium. RNAcentral's name for it is "partial 16S ribosomal RNA". It matches the Rfam family "Bacterial small subunit ribosomal RNA", at positions 355 to 469 of the family's 1533-position model. The record is from RNAcentral.